CCGGGCUUCGGCCUGGUUAUUCAUAACCCUUUGUUGUCCGACUCUGUUGCCUCCGGGGCGACCCUGCCUUCGGGCGGGGGCUCCGGGUGGACACUUCAAACUCUUGCGUAACUUUGCAGUCUGAGUAAACUUAAUUAAUAAAUUAAAACUUUUAACAACGGAUCUCUUGGUUCUGGCAUCGAUGAAGAACGCAGCGAAAUGCGAUAAGUAAUGUGAAUUGCAGAAUUCAGUGAAUCAUCGAAUCUUUGAACGCACAUUGCGCCCCCUGGUAUUCCGGGGGGCAUGCCUGUUCGAGCGUCAUUUCACCACUCAAGCCUCGCUUGGUAUUGGGCAACGCGGUCCGCCGCGUGCCUCAAAUCGUCCGGCUGGGUCUUCUGUCCCCUAAGCGUUGUGGAAACUAUUCGCUAAAGGGUGUUCGGGAGGCUACGCCGUAAAACAACCCCAUUUCUAAGGUUGACCUCGGAUCAGGUAGGGAUACCCGCUGAACUUAAGCAUAUCAA
This 500-nucleotide ribosomal RNA is filed under the name Cladosporium cladosporioides. Its description in RNAcentral is "eukaryotic LSU rRNA". The stretch from base 147 to 300 matches the Rfam family "5.8S ribosomal RNA". Lineage: Eukaryota; Fungi; Ascomycota; Dothideomycetes; Cladosporiales; Cladosporiaceae. The record is from RNAcentral.